UGGUGUCUUCAUGAAAGUUGUAGAUAUGUGUUUUAGCUUUAAUUGGGCGUUGGUCUGAUCUCAUUCCGAAAUCUAGAACUCAAGAUAUGAUCAAAAUACUACACAGGGGUCAGCAAGGUCGUGCUCUUUUUCGAGGCUUAGGAAAACAAAUUUUUGACAAUUUUACAUUCUGAACUAGGUUUCGAUAUAAACAUAAAAGUUGUAGAUAUGGAAGUCAGUUUUCAUGUGGCUUUGGAGUGACUCCAAUAGAAUGUCAAAAACAUGAGUUAUGAUCAAAAUACUACACAGAGGUCAGCACGGUCGUACAUUCUGUG
This 314-nucleotide long non-coding RNA is filed under the name Medicago truncatula (barrel medic). RNAcentral's name for it is "long non-coding RNA (MTRU_LNC006849)". Lineage: Eukaryota; Viridiplantae; Streptophyta; Magnoliopsida; Fabales; Fabaceae. The record is from RNAcentral.